GCGGGAAUAGCUCAGUUGGUAGAGCGCAACCUUGCCAAGGUUGAUGUCGCGAGUUCGAGCCUCGUUUCCCGCU
Molecule: transfer RNA, 73 nt
Filed under: Ignavibacteriota bacterium
Lineage: Bacteria; Pseudomonadati; Ignavibacteriota
Description: Ignavibacteriae bacterium (groundwater metagenome) tRNA-Gly
Rfam family: tRNA
About the family: Transfer RNA (tRNA) molecules are approximately 80 nucleotides in length. Their secondary structure includes four short double-helical elements and three loops (D, anti-codon, and T loops).
Source: RNAcentral